RNAcentral lists this ribosomal RNA (496 nucleotides) under uncultured bacterium. RNAcentral describes it as "partial 16S ribosomal RNA". It matches the Rfam family "Bacterial small subunit ribosomal RNA", at positions 29 to 507 of the family's 1533-position model. The record is from RNAcentral.
AUGCACGCUGGCGGCGUGCCUAAUACAUGCCAGUCGAGCGAACAGACGAGGGGCUUGCUCCUCUGACGUUAGCGGCGGACGGGUGAGUAACACGUGGAUAACCUACCUAUAAGACUGGGAUAACUUCGGGAAACCGGAGCUAAUACCGGAUAAUAUAUUGAACCGCAUGGUUCAAUAGUGAAAGACGGUUUUGCUGUCACUUAUAGAUGGAUCCGCGCCGCAUUAGCUAGUUGGUAAGGUAACGGCUUACCAAGGCAACGAUGCGUAGCCGACCUGAGAGGGUGAUCGGCCACACUGGAACUGAGACACGGUCCAGACUCCUACGGGAGGCAGCAGUAGGGAAUCUUCCGCAAUGGGCGAAAGCCUGACGGAGCAACGCCGCGUGAGUGAUGAAGGUCUUCGGAUCGUAAAACUCUGUUAUUAGGGAAGAACAAAUGUGUAAGUAACUAUGCACGUCUUGACGGUACCUAAUCAGAAAGCCACGGCUAACUACGUG